UGAUGCAGAUGAUGCCACGGCCCUUAGACUCUCUCAACAUUCAAUUUCUCAUGUGUUGGCUUUUUCAGAUCCCCCCUUCUGCAAGAAAGGCUCUUUGCAACUGGGUCAGAAUGGCGGCAGCGGAGCAUCGUCAUUCUUCAGGAUUGCCCUACUGGCCCUACCUCACAGCUGAAACUUUAAAAAACAGGAUGGGCCACCAGCCACCUCCUCCAACUCAACAACAUUCUAUAACUGAUAACUCCCUGAGCCUCAAGACACCUCCCGAGUGUCUGCUCACUCCCCUUCCACCCUCAGCGGAUGAUAAUCUCAAGACACCUCCCGAGUGUCUGCUCACUCCCCUUCCACCCUCAGCUCCACCCUCAGCGGAUGAUAAUCUCAAGACACCUCCC
RNAcentral lists this long non-coding RNA (389 nucleotides) under Homo sapiens (human). RNAcentral's name for it is "non-protein coding lnc-GSPT1-1:2". Lineage: Eukaryota; Metazoa; Chordata; Mammalia; Primates; Hominidae. The record is from RNAcentral.